AACGCAAAUUGCGCUUCCUGGCAUCCCGGGAAGUAUGCCUGUUUGAGGGUCAGUGUUAAUAAAAAAUCGGUUUGGUUGCAAAUUGUGACGUCUCCGGAGUUUGGGCUAUCUUAAUUUUUUUGGUUAAGAGGCUUAAAAUUGACCUUUUUUGCGCAUUUUUAGACGUACAUAAAUUUUUUUUUAUUCGUCUAUUCUUAAUGCCAAAAUCUUAUUAGAUGCGAUCACAUCGUGUGGUUUCGUGUCCAUAAUUUUCAUGAUUUGACCUCAAAUCAGGUAGGAGUACCCGCUGAACUUAA
RNAcentral lists this unclassified non-coding RNA (296 nucleotides) under uncultured Glomeraceae. Its description in RNAcentral is "sequence contains ITS2". Lineage: Eukaryota; Fungi; Glomeromycota; Glomeromycetes; Glomerales; Glomeraceae. The record is from RNAcentral.